GAUGAACGCUGGCGGCGUGCCUAAUACAUGCAAGUCGAGCGAACAGACGAGGAGCUUGCUCCUCUGACGUUAGCGGCGGACGGGUGAGUAACACGUGGAUAACCUACCUAUAAGACUGGGAUAACUUCGGGAAACCGGAGCUAAUACCGGAUAAUAUAUUGAACCGCAUGGUUCAAUAGUGAAAGACGGUUUUGCUGUCACUUAUAGAUGGAUCCGCGCCGCAUUAGCUAGUUGGUAAGGUAACGGCUUACCAAGGCGACGAUGCGUAGCCGACCAGAGAGGGUGAUCGGCCACACUGGAACUGAGACACGGUCCAGACUCCUACGGGAGGCAGCAGUAGGGAAUCUUCCGCGAUGGGCGAAAGCCUGACGGAGCAACGCCGCGUGAGUGAUGAAGGUCUUCGGAUCGUAAAACUCUGUUAUUAGGGAAGAACAAAUGUGUAAGUAACUAUGCACGUCUUGACGGUACCUAAGCAGAAAGCCACGGCUAACUACGUG
Molecule: ribosomal RNA, 497 nt
Filed under: uncultured bacterium
Lineage: Bacteria
Description: partial 16S ribosomal RNA
Rfam family: Bacterial small subunit ribosomal RNA
Source: RNAcentral